GCCAGUAUGGUGGAUAUGACACUCGAUUUGUAAUCGAGUAGGCUUGGGUUCGAAUCCCGAAUAAGGUG
This 68-nucleotide transfer RNA is filed under the name Trichonephila clavata. RNAcentral's name for it is "tRNA-Thr". The record is from RNAcentral. Lineage: Eukaryota; Metazoa; Arthropoda; Arachnida; Araneae; Nephilidae.